CAAGUCGAGCGGACGGAAGGAGAGCUUGCUCUCCUGACGUUAGCGGCGGACGGGUGAGUAACACGUGGGCAACCUGCCUGUAAGACUGGGAUAACUUCGGGAAACCGGAGCUAAUACCGGAUAAACCCUUUUCUCGCAUGAGGGGAGGUUGAAAGAGGGCUUUUCGCUCUCACUUACAGAUGGGCCCGCGGCGCAUUAGCUAGUUGGUGAGGUAACGGCUCACCAAGGCGACGAUGCGUAGCCGACCUGAGAGGGUGAUCGGCCACACUGGGACUGAGACACGGCCCAGACUCCUACGGGAGGCAGCAGUAGGGAAUCUUCCGCAAUGGACGAAAGUCUGACGGAGCAACGCCGCGUGAGCGAAGAAGGUCUUCGGAUCGUAAAGCUCUGUUGUUAGGGAAGAACAAGUACCGUUCGAAGAGGGCGGUACCUUGACGGUACCUAACGAGAAAGCCACGGCUAACUACGUGCCAGCAGCCGCGGUAAUACGUAGGUGGCAAGCGUUGUCCGGAAUUAUUGGGCGUAAAGCGCGCGCAGGCGGUUCCUUAAGUCUGAUGUGAAAUCUCGCGGCUCAACCGCGAGCGGUCAUUGGAAACUGGGGNACUUGAGUGCAGGAGAGGGGAGCGGAAUUCCACGUGUAGCGGUGAAAUGCGUAGAGAUGUGGAGGAACACCAGUGGCGAAGGCGGCUCUCUGGCCUGUAACUGACGCUGAGGCGCGAAAGCGUGGGGAGCGAACAGGAUUAGAUACCCUGGUAGUCCACGCC
This 764-nucleotide ribosomal RNA is filed under the name Aeribacillus alveayuensis. Its description in RNAcentral is "bacterial SSU rRNA". It matches the Rfam family "Bacterial small subunit ribosomal RNA", at positions 58 to 801 of the family's 1533-position model. The record is from RNAcentral. Lineage: Bacteria; Bacillati; Bacillota; Bacilli; Caryophanales; Bacillaceae.